RNAcentral lists this RNase P RNA (266 nucleotides) under Alphaproteobacteria bacterium. RNAcentral describes it as "partial RNase P RNA component class A". It matches the Rfam family "Bacterial RNase P class A", at positions 137 to 367 of the family's 367-position model. Rfam says of the family: Ribonuclease P (RNase P) is a ubiquitous endoribonuclease, found in archaea, bacteria and eukarya as well as chloroplasts and mitochondria. Its best characterised activity is the generation of mature 5'-ends of tRNAs by cleaving the 5'-leader elements of precursor-tRNAs. Cellular RNase Ps are ribonucleoproteins. The record is from RNAcentral. Lineage: Bacteria; Pseudomonadati; Pseudomonadota; Alphaproteobacteria.
CUGUUGGCGGGGUAAGGGUGAAAAGGUGGGGUAAGAGCCCACCGCGGCGCUGGCAACAGCUCCGGCAUGGUAAACCCCACCGGGAGCAAGACCGAAUAGGGAUGGCCCGCAGGCGCUUUCGGGCGUCGGCAGGCGGGUUCUGCGCCGCUAUCCGGGUUGGUCGCGCGAGGCGUCCGGUAACGGGCGUCCCAGAUGAAUGGCCAUCUCCCGCCACCGCGAGCAAUCGCCGGCGGGGACAGAACCCGGCUUACAGACCGCCUGACCCC